RNAcentral lists this small RNA (28 nucleotides) under Bombyx mori (domestic silkworm). RNAcentral describes it as "ovarian small RNA-18514". Lineage: Eukaryota; Metazoa; Arthropoda; Insecta; Lepidoptera; Bombycidae. The record is from RNAcentral.
UAAAUUUCUUCGAGAACAAAGCGAGUGG